AUGACACCUAAAUCUUCUUCUAUGAGUAAAAACAUCGUCGUUCCUUCGAUCUCAACCUCACCGGCACAAAUUCCUCCGUCUCUGUUGCUCAGUCUCUCUGUUGUGGAUCACUCAACUUCGCCUUCUUCAACGAUUCUACUUCCAUUUAGCCUUGAGGCUUUGUCAGACACCACCUUCGUCUCAGACUUCAUCAAAUUCAAUUAA
Non-coding RNA from Vicia faba (fava bean), 204 nucleotides. The record is from the annotation of a GenBank genome assembly. NCBI's taxonomy places the organism in Eukaryota, Viridiplantae, Streptophyta, Magnoliopsida, Fabales, Fabaceae.